GACGAACGCUGGCGGCGUGCUUAACACAUGCAAGUCGAGCGGUAAGGCCCUUUCGGGGGUACGACGAGCGGCGAACGGGUGAGUAACACGUGGGUGACCUGCCCUCAGCUCUGGGAUAAGCCCGGGAAACUGGGUCUAAUACCGGAUAUGACUCCAUGACGCAUGUUGUGGGGUGGAAAGCCUUGUGCGGCUGAGGAUGGGCCCGCGGCCUAUCAGCUUGUUGGUGGGGUGAUGGCCACCAAGGCGACGACGGGUAGCCGGCCUGAGAGGGCGACCGGCCACACUGGGACUGAGAUACGGCCCAGACUCCUACGGGAGGCAGCAGUGGGGAAUCUUGCGCAAUGGGCGAAGGCCUGACGCAGCGACGCCGCGUGAGGGAUGACGGCC
RNAcentral lists this ribosomal RNA (387 nucleotides) under uncultured bacterium. RNAcentral's name for it is "bacterial SSU rRNA". It matches the Rfam family "Bacterial small subunit ribosomal RNA", at positions 28 to 416 of the family's 1533-position model. The record is from RNAcentral.